UACGUAGGGUGCAAGCGUUAAUCGGAAUUACUGGGCGUAAAGCGUGCGCAGGCGGUUUUGUAAGACAGAGGUGAAAUCCCUCGGCUCAACCGGGGAACUGCGUCCGAGACUGUCGGGCUUGAGCACGGUAGAGGCUGGUGGAAUUCCCGGUGUAGCGGUGGAAUGCGUAGAGAUCGGGAAGAACAUCGGUGGCGAAGGCGGCCAGCUGGGCCGUUGCUGACGCUGAGGCGCGACAGCGUGGGGAGCAAACAGG
RNAcentral lists this ribosomal RNA (253 nucleotides) under uncultured bacterium. RNAcentral's name for it is "partial 16S ribosomal RNA". It matches the Rfam family "Bacterial small subunit ribosomal RNA", at positions 524 to 776 of the family's 1533-position model. The record is from RNAcentral.